UGGUGGAGCGAUUUGUCUGGUCAAUUCCGAUAACGAACGAGACUCUAGCCUACUUAAUAGUUCGGGGACCCCCACAAAGGGGCCCCGCUUCAACUUCUUAGAGGGACAGGUGGCGUUUAGCCACACGAGAUUGAGCAAUAACA
RNAcentral lists this ribosomal RNA (143 nucleotides) under uncultured eukaryote. RNAcentral describes it as "partial 18S ribosomal RNA". It matches the Rfam family "Eukaryotic small subunit ribosomal RNA", at positions 1299 to 1458 of the family's 1831-position model. The record is from RNAcentral.